RNAcentral lists this ribosomal RNA (256 nucleotides) under uncultured prokaryote. RNAcentral's name for it is "partial 16S ribosomal RNA". It matches the Rfam family "Bacterial small subunit ribosomal RNA", at positions 522 to 777 of the family's 1533-position model. The record is from RNAcentral.
AACACGUAGGAGGCGAGCGUUGUCCGGAAUCAUUGGGCGUAAAGAGCGCGCAGGCGGCCCGGCAAGUCGGGUGUGAAAUCUCGGGGCUCAACCCCGGAACUGCAUCCGAUACUGCCGGGCUAGAGGUAGGUAGGGGAGAUCGGAAUUCCUGGUGUAGCGGUGAAAUGCGCAGAUAUCAGGAGGAACACCGGUGGCGAAGGCGGAUCUCUGGGCCUUACCUGACGCUCAGGCGCGAAAGCUAGGGGAGCGAACAGGA